GACGAACGCUGGCGGCGUGCUUAACACAUGCCAGUCGAACGGAAAGGCCCUGCUUUUGUGGGGUGCUCGAGUGGCGAACGGGUGAGUAACACGUGAGUAACCUGCCCUUGACUUUGGGAUAACUUCAGGAAACUGGGGCUAAUACCGGAUAGGAGCUCCUGCUGCAUGGUGGGGGUUGGAAAGUUUCGGCGGUUGGGGAUGGACUCGCGGCUUAUCAGCUUGUUGGUGGGGUAGUGGCUUACCAAGGCUUUGACGGGUAGCCGGCCUGAGAGGGUGACCGGCCACAUUGGGACUGAGAUACGGCCCAGACUCCUACGGGAGGCAGCAGUGGGGAAUAGUGCACAAUGGGCUGCAGCCUGAUGCAGCAGCGCCGCGUGCGGGAUGACGGCCUUCGGGUUGUAAACCACUUUCGCCUGUGACGAACCGUGAGUGACGGUAAUGAGUAAAGAAGCACCGGCUAACUACGUG
This 468-nucleotide ribosomal RNA is filed under the name uncultured bacterium. RNAcentral describes it as "partial 16S ribosomal RNA". It matches the Rfam family "Bacterial small subunit ribosomal RNA", at positions 28 to 507 of the family's 1533-position model. The record is from RNAcentral.